This 75-nucleotide transfer RNA is filed under the name Paramesotriton yunwuensis. RNAcentral describes it as "tRNA-Leu". It matches the Rfam family "tRNA". Rfam says of the family: Transfer RNA (tRNA) molecules are approximately 80 nucleotides in length. Their secondary structure includes four short double-helical elements and three loops (D, anti-codon, and T loops). Further hydrogen bonds mediate the characteristic L-shaped molecular structure. tRNAs have two regions of fundamental functional importance: the anti-codon, which is responsible for specific mRNA codon recognition, and the 3' end, to which the tRNAs corresponding amino acid is attached (by aminoacyl-tRNA synthetases). tRNAs cope with the degeneracy of the genetic code in two manners: having more than one tRNA (with a specific anti-codon) for a particular amino acid; and 'wobble' base-pairing, i.e. permitting non-standard base-pairing at the 3rd anti-codon position. Lineage: Eukaryota; Metazoa; Chordata; Amphibia; Caudata; Salamandridae. The record is from RNAcentral.
GUUAAGGUGGCAGAGCCCGGUAAUUGCAAAAGACCUAAGCCCUUUCAACCAGAGGUUCAACUCCUCUUCUUAACU